CUUCUAUGCAGACACAGUUGGAUGGCAAUUGGAAGAGUACUGGCCCUGGGAAGACCCAGCUUUGAGCCUCAGGUUGUGUCUAAUCAUCUCUCUGUCCUUGGGCCAGUCAACUCACCUGUUCGUGCUGCCACAGAGACAGAGGGGCCACAUCAGAGAGAAAGACUCUACAGCUUGCCCAGAGUCGAGCUUAAAUGGAGCAGCAUGAUUUUUGUCUGAAAAGUCUGAGAUGGGACCAGUGGAAAGGUGUGCAUUUUAAGAAGGAUUUGCUUCCCCAUCUUGUGCCUUCUGUGUCUUGCAGCACGACCUGGCCCUCCACCUAGGAAUCAUACCUUCAUCCCCCAUACUCAUAAGCAUCCUCAUUCCUGUUUCCUUGUGGAUGUCAUGGUCUGCUGUGAAGUCUGCUUGGUGACCCGUCCAGACCUGACUUGGUAUAAAUGAUUUUGUUGCAGAGAAUAACAAAGUCUCAGUGUUUAUUUGGCAUCUGUUGGGAUAUCUGGAACCCUAAACAGAACGGAGGGGAGCUGGGGUCAUGUCCCUUCUUUAAUGAUUGGGAAGACUGAGGCUUAGACUGUGCUGAGUCACUGCUCCCAGGUCACCCAGCCUGAAGGGGUUUCUUAGUCUGGGUUCCCCUAGAAGCAGGCUCUGAGACCAGAGUUUGAGUCUAAGUAAUUUAUUUGGGAGCUGGGCCCAGAAAACACAAAUGGAUGGUGAGACAAGCAGGAAGGCAGCCCACAAAGGGCAGGUUUUCAAGCCACCUAUCCCUGGUGGCAACUGGAGCCUAAUCCCCCUGGGAAACCAUCAAGCCUCAGAAUGGGACCACCUGAGGAGUGAG
RNAcentral lists this long non-coding RNA (832 nucleotides) under Homo sapiens (human). RNAcentral's name for it is "HSALNT0105953". Lineage: Eukaryota; Metazoa; Chordata; Mammalia; Primates; Hominidae. The record is from RNAcentral.